RNAcentral lists this ribosomal RNA (254 nucleotides) under uncultured bacterium. RNAcentral's name for it is "partial 16S ribosomal RNA". It matches the Rfam family "Bacterial small subunit ribosomal RNA", at positions 524 to 776 of the family's 1533-position model. The record is from RNAcentral.
UACGUAGGGUGCAAGCGUUGUCCGGAAUUAUUGGGCGUAAAGAGCUCGUAGGCGGUUUGUUGCGUCGGCUGUGAAAUCCCGAGGCUCAACCUCGGGUCUGCAGUCGAUACGAGCAAACUAGAGUGUUGCAGGGGAGACUGGAAUUCCUGGUGUAGCGGUGAAAUGCGCAGAUAUCAGGAGGAACACCGGUGGCGAAGGCGGGUCACUGGCUCAUUACUGACGCUCGAGGCGCGACAGCGUGGGGAUCAAACAGG